This 724-nucleotide non-coding RNA is filed under the name Merocoris curtatus. Lineage: Eukaryota; Metazoa; Arthropoda; Insecta; Hemiptera; Coreidae. The record is from RNAcentral.
AAAGAUUGAUCCUGUCUUCUUUAAUUGGUUAUUAGAUAAUAUUAAAUAUAAGUUUUUGCGGGUUGUUGACAUUUACCUAAAGGGUAAGUUUAUUAGUUAUUAUUUGUAGUUUUUAAUUUUGAGUUUUACGUCAUUGUAGAUUCAGUUAAUUUAUGGAGAGCUGUUUAAGGUUGUGCCAGCAUACGCGGUUAUACAUCCAGCUCGAAUUAAUUUUUUUGGUUUUUAUUUAUUUAUAUUUUAUGGAGUUUGAGUUUAUUUUAUAAGGUGAAAUUUUUAAUUUAAAUUAUAUUCUCUGGGUUUAAGAUAAUAAGAAAUUUAGUGUUAUAAACUAGGAUUAGAUACCCUAUUAUUCUAAAUGUAAAAAUAUAACCAUAGUAUUAAUAGUUAUGAUCUUUAAAUUAAAAGGAUUUGGCGGUAAUUUAGUCUUUUCAGAGGAACCUGUUCUGUAAUCGAUAAUCCACGUUGGAUUUAACUUUAAUUUUUAGUUUGUAUAUCUCUGUCAUUGAAUGUUUUAUUAGAAUAUUUUCUUAAAUUAUUAAUUUAAUUAAUGUCAGGUCAAGGUGCAGCUAUAUUAAAGGUUGAAAUGGGUUACAUUUAAUGUUUAUUUAUUGGAAUAUUUAUAUUGUAAAUUUAAUUUUAUAUAAAAAAGGAUUUGAAAGUAAUUUUUACUACUUUGUAAGGAUGAUUUUAGCUCUAGAUUAUGUACACAUCGCCCGUCGUUCUC